RNAcentral lists this transfer RNA (73 nucleotides) under bacterium. RNAcentral describes it as "tRNA-His". It matches the Rfam family "tRNA". From Rfam's summary of the family: Transfer RNA (tRNA) molecules are approximately 80 nucleotides in length. Their secondary structure includes four short double-helical elements and three loops (D, anti-codon, and T loops). The record is from RNAcentral.
UCCCCCGUAGCUCAGUGCAGAGCAUCGCCCUGUGGGGGCGAAGGUGUUGGUUCGACUCCAACCGGGGGAGCCA